GGGCCCGCACAAGCGGAGGAACAUGUGGUUUAAUUCGAUGAUACGCGAGGAACCUUACCUGGGCUUAAAUGCAGAACGACGAUUCGGGAAACCGAUUCUCCCUUCGGGGCGGACUGCAAGGUGCUGCAUGGUUGUCGUCAGCUCGUGCCGUGAGGUGUCGGGUUAAGUCCCAUAACGAGCGCAACCCUUAUCGUUAGUUGCCAGCGGGUAAUGCCGGGGACUCUAACGAAACUGCCGGUGUAAACCGUGAGGAAGGUGGGGAUGACGUCAAAUCAGCACGGCCCUUAUGUCCAGGGCUACACACGUGUUACAAUGGUCGGUACAGAGGGCAGCUACCAUGUGAAUGGAUGCUAAUCUCGAAAGCCGGUCUUAGUUCGGAUCGAAGUCUGCAACUCGACUUCGUGAAGCUGGAUUCGCUAGUAAUCGCACAUCAGCCAUGGCGCGGUGAAUACGUUCCCGGGCCUU
This 465-nucleotide ribosomal RNA is filed under the name uncultured bacterium. Its description in RNAcentral is "bacterial SSU rRNA". It matches the Rfam family "Bacterial small subunit ribosomal RNA", at positions 917 to 1382 of the family's 1533-position model. The record is from RNAcentral.